CAUUCUGAGAGUUGUAAUGUUGCCCAAAAAAGGCGGUAUUAUACCGUCCAUGAGAUUGUAAACGAGAGAAAUAACCUCGAGUUUUUGAAAACGAGCGAAAGUAUCGGGAAUGUCUCCUGAGAAAUUGUUUCCGGUAAGGUCAAGGUAUCUAAGGUUAGGGAGGUCAGCUAAUGUUGAACACUAAGUGUUCUGGACUAAUUCAAAGCUAAAGUAUUGUAUUGAAAAUGUGACAGUGAAGCUAAAGCUUUACAACAAGAAAAACGUGGAAUUGCAACUCUGUAUCUUUUAUUAAGAGAAGUUCAACUUAAAUAGAAAUACAAAUAACAGAUAAGUAGAAAAAUAUGCAGCAUCUAACCCAUGACUAACUGUCACCUAGUAAGCUGGGAUUUUCCUAAGGAAUAGGUAAACAAUUGACUGGUUCCUGGUAAAUAGGAACUUAUUCAAAUACAGAGUAAAUCAAAUAACAAAUAAACAAUAAACAUUUAACACCCUCCCUUAAACUGAUUGCUGCAAAGAAACAGUUUAAGAUGGUACUGCUAUGGAGAUUUCAUCAUAGCAGUUUUAUUAAACAAACAACAUAACUGCUGUUAUCAAUUUUCUUGCUCAAGAACCUGAAAUGAACACAUUCCAAGUAAGUUACGCAGUUUUUCAAAUGCAUCCAACUUCAGUGCCUUUGUCAUGAUGUCUGCGAUUUGAUCUUCACUUCGGCAGUAAACCAAUUCGAUGGUUCCUUCAUUUGAAAGAUCACGAAGGAAAUGAUAUCGCACAUCUAUGUGCUUGCUUCUCCCGUGAAGGACUGGAUUUUUAGAAAGCUUGAUUGCUGAGCUGCUGUCACAGUGAAUUAUUGUAGGAUCAUGUUGCUGAAAAUGCAGAUCAUCAAGAAUUCUUCUCAGCCAUAUUGCUUGACAUGCUGAUGUUGCUGCGGCUAUGAACUCUGCUUCGGUUGUGGAUAGAGUAACCACCUGUUGUUUUCUUGAAGACCAAGACACAGCACCUGAAUUCAUCAUGAACACGCUUCCUGAAGUGCUUCUCCUGUCGUCUACAUCACCUGCGUAAUUGCUGUCAGCAUAGCCAAUGAGUCUUGAAGCUUCUCCUUUCUUAUAGUGUAUACCGAAAUCAGUUGUUCCCUGUAAAUAACGAAACACUCUCUUCGCAGCUUGGGAAUGCAGAAUUGUUGGUGAUUCCAUGUACCUGCUAAGAAGACUCACUGCACACAUAACAUCCGGCCUAGUAGCUGUUAAGUACAUUAAGCUCCCAACCAUUUGUUUGUAAUAGGUGCUGUCGAUUCUUUGUCCAUCAAGAUCCUUAUGUAGCUUUAGUCCUGGUUCAAUUGGAUUCUUGACUGGAUUGCAAUUUUGAUAAUGAAAUCUUUCCAAGAUCUCUUUUGCAUAUUUCUUCUGCGUAAUGAAGAUUCCAGUUGUUGAUUGCAUGACUUCAAUUCCAAGGAAAUAACGCAUCAUACCCAAAUCAGUCAUCUCAAAUUCAGCUUUCAUGGAGUCCUUGAAUUCUUGAAGCAAAAUCCCAUCAUUCCCAGUGUAAAUAAGAUCAUCCACGUAUAAACACACAAACAAGAAUUUACCUCCACCUGCAGUUUUAACAAAUAAAGUGUGUUCAUGUGGGCAUUUUCUGAAACCUGCCUUAGUGAAGAACGCAUCUAUACGACUGUACCAAGCUCUAGGAGCUUGUUUCAGUCCGUAUAAAGCUUUGUUCAACUUGUAAACCUGCUCCUCAUAUCCUUGCUUCACGUAUCCAGAGGGCUGAUCAACAUAAACUUGUUCUUCCAAGUCCCCAUUCAGGAAAGCAGACUUUACGUCCAUCUGAAAAAUAGGCCAAGUGUGUUGUGCUGCCAAUGAAAUUACAAGACGAAUGGUAUCAUGCCUGACUACUGGGCAAAUACCUCAUCAUAAUCGAUGCCAUGCUGCUGUUUGUAGCCCUUUACCACUAGACGAGCCUUGUGCUUGUCAAUCUCCCCAUUCUCAUUUAACUUGGUCUUAUAGACCCACUUUACACCAAUGGUUUUCUGUCCUCUUGGAAGAUCCACAAGUUCCCAGGUGUUGUUUUUGUUGAUGGCAUGAAUCUCUGUGUCCAUGGCUCUUCUCCAUUUCUCCUCUUUUACUGCAUCUUCAAAUUUUAUAGGAUCAGAACCUGCAAAUAAAGCAAACUGGGCAAAGGUAUCUUCAUCAGAAAAUUCAUUUCCAUUGACAUAGUCAUUCAUCCAUGCAGGGGCUGUUCUUUGCCGUUGAGGUAUGUUGGAUGUCCCUUCACCGUGUGGAACAAUGGUUCCUUCAUGUGAAAUAGGAAUUUGCAGCUGCUCUUCUGUGUGAAUUUCACAUUCAGGUGGCUGAAUGUGAGAUUCAAUUCUGCGAUCACCAAUAAAAACCUCUUCUGUUCCGUAGCUUGCAUCUUCAUAUAGGUCAGAAUCUUGAAACAGAUUUGCAUCUGUUCUCUUCCAAUCCCAUGUGUUUUCUUCAUCGAACUGAACAUCACGACUGAUGACUAUGUUUUUGGUGAUUGGAUUAAAAAGCUUGUAAGCUUUUGAUUCCUCACUAACUCCAAGAAAUACACACUUUACUGCCUUGUCAUCCAGCUUUGUUCUUUUGGCAUCUGGAACAUGUGCAUAUGCUAUGCACCCAAAAUUCUGAAGUGAUCAACCGUAGGCUUAGAUCCACACCAGGCUUCUGUUGGUGUAAUAUUCUUUACAGCAAACGUAGGGCAACGAUUCAAUAUAUGAACACUCCAUUUAACUGCUUCAGGCCAGAAACUCUUCGGCAUUUUUCCCUUCAGUAACAUACUACGAACCAUGUUCAUAAUUGUACGAUUUCUUCGUUCCGCCACCCCAUUCUGUUGUGGUGAAUAUGCUGCUGUAAGUUGCCUUUUUAUUCCAUGCAUUUCACAGAAAUUUGCAAAUUCAUGUGAAGUAAAUUCACCACCACGGUCUGUUCGAAGGAUUUUAAUGGGAUUACCACAUUCCUUUUCACUAUGAGCUUUAAAUUUCUUGAACACAGUAAAAGCUUCAGACUUAUCUUGCAAGAAGUAAACCCAUGUCUUUCGACUGCAAUCAUCUAUAAAGGAGAUAAAAUACCUCUUGUUGCCAUUUGAGGUUGGAUUAAUUGGUCCACAAAUGUCCGAGUGAACCAAAUGAAGAGUUUCUUCAGCUCGCCAAGCUUUUCCUUUUGGAAAGGAAUCUCGAGGUUGUUUCCCCACAACACAUUCCUCACAUAAUUCAGUAGGACAAGUGAUUUUUGGAAGCCCAGUCACCAUGUUUUUCUCUUGCAAUGCCUUCAAGCCAUCGAAAUUUAGAUGCCCAUAACGAUAAUGCCAUAACCAAGUUGAGUCAUGCAUUUUCGUUGAAAAACAAGUUUGAAUUUGAUCCUGCAUGUAUAAUGGAAACAUGCGAUUGCUUGUCAUUCUUGCUUCAGCAAUUACUCCCUUCUCUGGAUGAUGUAUUUUGCAACAACCUGCUGCAAUGAUUAUUGUAUAUCCCUUCUCUUGCAAUUGUCCCAUGCUAAUCAGAUUACUCUUUAAUUCUGGAAUGUAGAAAACACUGGAUAUUGUCUGCACUGUGUUGUGUUUUGCAUAAAAUCUCACAUUUCCCUUUCCCAUGACAGUAAUGAACAUGCCAUUCCCAAGCUUUACUGUAUCUUUGUAAUUUUCAUCCAAACAAGAAAAUAAUUCCUUGUUUCCACACAUGUGGUUGCUGCACCCUGAAUCCAAAUACCAUUUGUCUGAUUUGGAUUCUUCUUCUUCAAGAAAUGCCAUUAAAAGCAUUUCUUCUUCGGCUUCAGCUUCUACAAGAUUCACCUUCUCUUCUUUAUCUGUGCACUCAUACUGAUAAUGGCCAUACCUGUGGCAAUUAUAGCAUUGAACUCGUGAUUUGUCAAAUGGUUUUUGAUCAUAACCACGACCUCUUCCACCACGUCCUGUACCUCCUCUGCCCCAGCUGCGACCUCUUCCAUAUCCCCUUGAAAGUACUCCACCAUUCAUUGAUACUUUCAGAACCUGUUCCUCAGGAAUAAUGCUCACCAUCCGCUGCUCAUGCAAUAGCAAUGAGCUUUGUAGCUCAUCAAUCGAAAGUUCUUCAAUGUUGUGUGAUUCUUCAAUGGAGCAGACUACAUAGUUAAACUUUGCAGACAUUGAUCGAAGAAUCUUUUCAAUUAUCGUAACAUCCUCCAUUUUAUCACCAUGUAUUCGCAUUCUAUUUGCAAUUGCAAGAGUGCGUGAAAAAUAACCAUCGACUGACUCUCCAGUAUUCAUGUGGAGAAUUUCAAACUCUUUGCGAAGAGUUUGAAGUUGCGCCCUCUUCACUCUUGUUGACCCUUGAUACUUCUUCUUCAUUGAGUCCCAAAUCUGCUUGGAUGUGUUCUUGUGGAGAAUGGUCUCUAAAAUCCCCCGAUCAAUUGCUUGGAACAAGUAAUUUUUUGCUUUAAGAUCCUUCAGUUUCUGAUCUUCAAGAAUCUUGGUUUGUGCGUCUGUCAGCACACUUCCAACUGUUGGUUCAUUGAUUCCUUGUUCCACAAGACUCCAAUACUCCUUUGACCUCAAGAAAUUUUCCAUCAGCAUACUCCAAUGGUCAUAAUGACCAUCAAAGCGUGGGAUUGCAGGUUGCACGUAAUUAUUUUCUGAUGCCAUGUUCUUUGCUGCAGCAAAAGGCACAAAACUCACAAACUCACUAUCUCUCUUUUCCCUGUGUUUCCCAGUGUUUCUCUCAAUCUCACAGUGUUUCUCUCAAUCUCACGAUCUCUCUUCCCUGUGUUUCCCUUAACUUUCUGGUUUGUUUCUCACACUCUCAAGCUCUGAUACCACUUGUUGAACACUAAGUGUUCUGGACUAAUUCAAAGCUAAAGUAUUGUAUUGAAAAUGUGACAGUGAAGCUAAAGCUUUACAACAAGAAAAACGUGGAAUUGCAACUCUGUAUCUUUUAUUAAGAGAAGUUCAACUUAAAUAGAAAUACAAAUAACAGAUAAGUAGAAAAAUAUGCAGCAUCUAACCCAUGACUAACUGUCACCUAGUAAGCUGGGAUUUUCCUAAGGAAUAGGUAAACAAUUGACUGGUUCCUGGUAAAUAGGAACUUAUUCAAAUACAGAGUAAAUCAAAUAACAAAUAAACAAUAAACAUUUAACAGCUAAGGUGUGGGGGAGAGUACCUGUAAGCAGAUUUUGAGAAAGAUCAAGGUGUUGGAGAUUUUGACACGUGGAGAUAUCUAAAGGGAGAGUGGAGUUGAUGCAGUUGUUGGAGAAGGAGAGGGAAGUAAGGUUUUGGAGACGGCAAAGGAGGGUAGGGAAAGGGCCAGCCAGGUUAGAGUUGGACAAGUCUAUGGACGUGAUAGAGCUUGUUCUUGGGUCACAUUUGAUGCCGGACCAUGAGCAUGGGGUGGUGUCUCUGUCGGACCACGAAGAGAGAGCUGAGUCUGGGUCUGAAAGAGAGAGCUUUAUUUGUUGGAGGUAAAGCCCUUCUUGGUUCAGAGAAAGGGUAGAGGAAGAAAAGAAGAGGAUGGAAAGGAAAACGAAGAGAAGCAUGAUCUUCUUCUUCUUUCUUCUUCUUCUUCUUCUUCUUCUUCGGUGGUUAUGGAGUCGGCUUUGGGAUUCAAGAUAGGGCAGGCGAUGGGUGCGUGCUUUGGUGUGAGAUAUAAAAAGGGCUGAAACUUGAAAGUGAGAGCAACUGUGUUUGAGUGAGUUUUCCGGCGAAGGGACUCGGGAGUGAUGGCAUGAGAGUGGGCUUAUUGCUGUAAGGAGAGGUGCUCUGGUAUCGUGGUAUGUACUGUUAAGACAUUGCCUGAAGGUUAAUGAUAGCCUUCAUGAGUUUUUGAAUGUUAAUCAUUCGUUUCAAAUUAUUUUGUUUAAGAAUAUAAGCUUUUAUUAAAGCCAUUUUUAUGUAUUCAGUAUUUUGUAAAAUAACUUCAAAUUAAAAUUAAGGCAUAUUUUCUUUUGGAGAAAUAACAAAUGCUUCAAAUUCAUGAACUUAAA
Molecule: long non-coding RNA, 5963 nt
Filed under: Populus tremula
Lineage: Eukaryota; Viridiplantae; Streptophyta; Magnoliopsida; Malpighiales; Salicaceae
Description: long non-coding RNA (PTRE_LNC000630)
Source: RNAcentral